GCGGUGUCACGGAGCGCCGUUCGCAGCCGCUCAUCGCCUAUCGCGAUCCGCCGAGGGGUGACAUGGAAACAGGCACCAAAAAAUAGCAGAGCCAAUGACGAACGGCGGCCGGGUGACAGAGCGGAGCGCUCCGGAGGCGGAGAGGAGGAGCAGAGCAGUUGCCAAGUGAUCUUCUCCACAGCACCCACGAACUUUGGCCUUACAUGAAGAGGACUCAUCAAAUGCCUUGGGAGAUACAACACAGAAUUGGAAGAGAAGCAUGGAUCUCCACGGAGGGCAGUCCGCUGCAUUCUUGGUGUGUGGAGGAACGGGUCCUGUGCUCACUGUUGUUACUCCCACAUAGGCGGACUCUGUAACUGAUUAUAUGUGGGUAGGGCCCUAUUGAAAUUAAGGAGAUUCUGCAGUAGUGUGGGGUUCUGUUUGUGUGACCCCACUGUGCCUUCUUACUGUGAAUUCUGUCAGUGUAUCAUGGGUUGUGCUGGAACCUGCCUUUUGGGAUAAUUACCAAAUAAUAUAUUCCUCAAAACUUCUUAAUGGCACUGAGGCUUUGUGGAUAGUUGGUCACAUGAUGAGAAAAUUCAGCUGCCCAUCAAGACUACUUCUACCUGAUACUUUUCCUUCAAUAUCAAGAGGUUGACUAAUUUUGAUCAACAUAUGAUGCCAGCUUCCAUCAUUCAGUUGUUAAAUUUUCACACUGGAUACUUUCUCCUCAGCUGCCUCUCAUGUACUGAUUGACUCUUCCAUGAACAGAACUGUUUGCUGUCUUCCUUUAAUAUCUUCUUAGAAGCUUUAUGUACUAUGAAAUUUAUGACAGUCCAACUAGAAAAUAAGUGUGUUGUACAAGUAUACUAAUACCAAUGCUUGUCGCAGUAAUACUUUGCCUUUGUACUCUGCAGUAAUCUCUAUUGUCUCUUUACGUAGAAUUCAAGCAUGUAGACUUUUUGUUGUAUGCUUAUUCAGCGUAACGAGAAGUGAUCCAGGCUGUAGCCUUCUAGGAUUUGUUGUAAUACAAAUAAAUAAUAAUUGAAUACUCAGUAGAUACUGCAGUGUAGCCAUUGGAUUCUGCUGAGCCUUGAGUCACAUCAUAUUUGAUGCAGAGAUAAGGUGCUCCAAAUAGAGGCCUCACAAAAGGGAGAGAAGUGAGUUUCAGCCAACACAGAAAAUGCUAGCACCCCAGAGGUCUUCUCAGCUGUCAAACCCAAGUCAAUAUCUACUGGCAUUGUGUCCAGAAAGCAUCCCUCUUUAUCUUCUCCACAGCAGUAACAGCAGACUCUCCCUCCUCAGAGGGAGUUAAUGUGAGUAUUACAAAAUUCUCCAGUGUAUACAAGAGAUUAAAGGACUUCAUAUACUUCCAUAAUGUCCUUCUGCUCCUUAGUGCAUUCCCUUCCUGACACAGCUUCUCUUGGCACAGAAAUCUUGUCAAAUGCCACUUGGUUCUCUGUUGAGAAGGAGCCCACACUAGUUUUGAUUCAGUAUCUAGGUACAUUUUUGCCUCAUAUUGCUCUGUUUCCCUGGUACCUUGAAGAUAAUGAUUAUUCAGAAGAAUGGUAAGUGUGAAUUGCAACAGGAAUUCUUCAGGUAUGUCAAUGUUUCUGGAAGUGGGCCUGCUUGUGUCCCUUUUCCUUCUUUCAAAGUGACACUAAAAUGGCAGCGUACAGAUGAUAACAGAGAUGAUGAAAUGUUAGUGCUUUGCUGAUAGAGAGACAAUAGAUUGGUCUAUUGGGCUCUAUAUGCUAACUAGUCAAAUAAGUUAAAUUUAUCAGGCUAAACCAUACAAUGUAAUUACAAAUGGUUCCAUAUCUGAAUAGGAGAAGCCUGGCAAGAGCUCUGAACAAACUGACAGAGUGGACACAGUACUGCAGUACUGAAGUACUGCAGGAGGCUAGAGUGGCUAUACAGCUGAGAAGCUUGAUAGUAACAAGAGUUUUCAGUUUUCAGAGUAUGGUCUGGAUAAGCUUAACAUUAGGCCAUCAUGCAUAAGCUGUGUUUUUAACUUCCAUCAAGGGCUAACUUUUUAGCUAACUAUCUAGAGAAUCCAGUAGAACGGGGACUGCUCUUGAUUUUGUUUAGAUUAGUAACAGGACUUAGUUGACAAAGUAACUAUAGGAAAGACAAUUGGUAGUGGCAGAUAUCAAACUGAAGUUUGUCACAUUUGUGUGAGAGAAAAUGAUGAAAAUAAAUAAACAAUCCAGUAUUGUUUAACUGUAAAAAGGAAUUGCAUACCAAUGAAGAAAUCGUUCAAGUAAAAAUUAUAAGAGGCCAUGAGAGACACAGAGUGUUUGUUUUCUAAUUCUGAUCCAAGUGAAUAAGAAUUCAUGACAACUGAGAAGUAAGGGAAGUUACUAGGAAUAAAUAGACGUUUUUCAAAGAGUGAAAUUCACACAAGCAAAGAAGAGAAGAGCUUCCCAUUCUGGGAAGCUAAGCGUAGAUCUGUUGUAAGGAGGGACAAAAAGAUUUUGAGGAGAAACAGGCUAAAAGCAAAAAGUAAAAUCUAUAAGCGUUAAUUUUUCAGUUAAUUCUGUUAGCAGGACACUGAGUUUAAGAGAUAGAAUAUUUAAAGGCAAAGCCAUUGCAGAAAGAAACAUAUGGACAAACCCUUGCAUUGGCAGUUCAUUCCAGGGAGAUUAGGAACAGUCCCAUAUAAAAGUUGUUCUUUAUAAGAAAUAUUUCAAUUUUUAAAUACCAAUAAAAGAUUCUUGAACAACUUGAUUAAAUAGGCACUAGCAGAUUGCCAGAUAGCACGUUGUUCCUUCAGUAGUUUUAGAGAAAUUCUGAAAUGAAACUGGUUAUCUGUGAACUGUGUUGUAUAAUCCAUCAUUUAAAUUGGUGUUGCUGACAAAGGAAUGGAAAGCAGCAAAUGUGACACCAUUUAAAAAGGUCUCUAGGGAUGAUUGUGGACUAAUGUACUAAUAAGUCUGACUUCCAUGGCUGGCAAAAUGCCAGCAAAUGUGAUAAAGAAUAUAAUUACUAGGAACAUGGAUACCUUUUUGUACAAGGUAGUUUUGUCUUAUGGCUUUGCUUGUUACUUGAAGCAGUAAACAGAUACAUAGGAGUAGGUCACCCAAAAAUUUUUUAAAAAGGUCUGUCACCAAAGAAUGUUAACACAGUGAAGUGUUGAGAUGUGUAAGAUUCCUUGUGGAUUAAUAAAUGGUUACAAGAUAGAGACUAUAGCAACUAAUGGGUGGUUUUAAUGACACCACCUCCCAGCAGUUUGUACUGGCACAUUUUCUGGUCCACCUGUCCCUAAAUGGUAUGAAAAAGUGCAGUGAUAAUGCUUAGAGAUGAUAAAAGGUUACUGUGCAUUUGGAGUCAGAGCUGACGUUGGCCCUGAAGAGUUGCAGAAGGAUCUCACAGCACGGGCUGUGGUGCUGCAGGAGCCACAGCCAUCCCAGAGGCCAGGUAUGGCUGACCCACUGUUAAACCAGACCUGUCAGCAAGAGGGUCAUCACCUCCUCAUCUGCCAGCUCCGCAGGCUGCAGCCAGCCCUGCCGUUCAGGAGGCAGGGAUUUGCAGCUGUUCUAACAGGGACUGCAGCAUGGAAGUUCUACUUCCCUAUUUCUUAGGGUUUCACAGCCUUAGGUGAGCUUGAAAUUCAGACUUUGAUCUUGGAAUUCCUGCCUGUCACAGAGGUGAAGUUUAAUUGUUAAGCUGAUGGGUGCUGUCCGGGUGCUGUGAAAAGCCUGGUUUCUCAAGCCCCUUCCUAAUGUUUGUGUGGAUUUUUAGCAGCUCCUGCUGAUUUCCUGAAGUCAUUCUGGAUGGAGUUGAGGCAAAAUGGUACUUGAAACAAAGGAGUCAUGCUGGCAUACUAGUCAGUUUUGAGCACUGAUGAGAAUUAUGAACAAUAUAGACGUGGAUGAUGAAGAUGUGGCGUAGCUAUUGAGCAGUAACUGAAUCAGGAUUCUUCUUUUUGGAAAAACAUCGGCUGAGGAGUAAUAACGUAAGGAAGAUCUCUGAAACCAUGAAUAUGGGGAAGUAUUUAAUAGCAGACUCUAAUUCUCUAUUUCUUAGAACAGAAUAACAAGGAGCCCUUGGUCACUGUUUUCUGUAUCUUAGGUGUCCUUUAAGGCAGCAGAAGGUACCAGUUUCAUCUGCUGUAGCUUUGUGGCACAAAACUGCACAUCUCUGUUUGUCCUGGAUCAGCCGUGGCCAAAAUCCAACCCAUGUAGAAUUACAGCUUUUCUGUAGAUAAAAGUUUGUAGGCCUUAUUGUCUGAUGAUAAAUUUUUAAAUAUGAAUCAAAUGUAAAUCGGUCCCUUUUUCCUAAACCUGAAUAUAUGUAUAUAUAUAUAUACGUAUAUUUAUAGAUUUUUAAACUAUGCUUCUGUCUAAUCCUGUGUCUGUAAUGUUAUGGUCAUAUUGGCCUUGCUUCUGUUUACAAAUGUAUGGGCAAAGGCGAAUGUCAGUUUGCUGCUACUUCAGAAAGCCAGAAGCAAAUAGCAGGUCCUAAAAUCAAUCUCAGGGGAAAUCAGAUAGAAGAGCAGAAAUGUUUAAAACAGCAACCAGAAGGUCCGGAGGGAGGGAGGGAGGGAGGG
Long non-coding RNA from Centrocercus urophasianus (Greater sage-grouse), 4531 nucleotides. RefSeq lists it as uncharacterized. The transcript is spliced from 6 exons. Lineage: Eukaryota; Metazoa; Chordata; Aves; Galliformes; Phasianidae. The record is from RefSeq and is a predicted model, not a curated record.